Molecule: ribosomal RNA, 500 nt
Filed under: uncultured bacterium
Lineage: Bacteria
Description: partial 16S ribosomal RNA
Rfam family: Bacterial small subunit ribosomal RNA
Source: RNAcentral
AUUGAACGCUGGCGGCAUGCCUUACACAUGCAAGUCGAACGGCAGCACGGGUGCUUGCACCUGGUGGCGAGUGGCGAACGGGUGAGUAAUACAUCGGAACGUACCUUAUCGUGGGGGAUAACGCAGCGAAAGCUGUGCUAAUACCGCAUACGACCUGAGGGGGAAAGCGGGGGACCGAAAGACCUAGAGCGAAAGAGCGGCCGAGGACUGAUUGGCUUGUUGGUGGGGUAAAAGCCCACCAAGGCGACGAUCAGUAACUGGUCUGAGAGGACGAUCAGCCACACUGGGACUGAGACACGGCCCAGACUCCUACGGGAGGCAGCAGUGGGGAAUUUUGGACAAUGGGGGCAACCCUGAUCCAGCAAUGCCGCGUGAGUGAAGAAGGCCUUCGGGUUGUAAAGCUCUUUUGUCAGGGAAGAAACACCGGCUCUAACACAGUCCGGGAAUGACGGUACCUGAAGAAUAAGCACCGGCUAACUACGUGCCAGCAGCCGCGGUAA